CCAAGGCAAGACAGAAGAAAAAAAAAUAGGAAUAUAGACCAAUGGAAUAGAACAGAGACCCCAAAAGUAAAGCCAAAUACAGCUAACUGAUCUUCGAUAAAGCAUACAAAAAUAUAAAGGGAGGAAAGGACACACUAUUCAAUAAAUGGUGCUGG
Molecule: long non-coding RNA, 155 nt
Organism: Nomascus leucogenys (northern white-cheeked gibbon)
Lineage: Eukaryota; Metazoa; Chordata; Mammalia; Primates; Hylobatidae
Exons: 3
Source: RefSeq, a predicted model, not a curated record